Long non-coding RNA from Astatotilapia calliptera (eastern happy), 3096 nucleotides. The record is from Ensembl. Lineage: Eukaryota; Metazoa; Chordata; Actinopteri; Cichliformes; Cichlidae.
UUGAGAUUGGUUGAUUAAUUGACUAGUUGCGGAUAAGGAAAUUAAAUACAAGGUACACUGAUAAUUUCUAAAAAAAUUUAAUGUCAGAAAUAUACUGCAUUUUUAUAAUUUACUCUAAAAUAUGCAUGUUUUCAAGCUGAGUUUAAUAAAUGGAUAUUCAUUUAAUGCUCAUUGCUAUUUGGCAGCUUAACUGUAGUUUAAAAGCCUUGAAAAAUCCUCAAAAACCUAAAAUGGGAAAGCUAAACUAAAGAACACAGGAAACAUGGAAAAUGUUGCAAAAACCUUACAACCUUGAACGAGGAACAUAAGACAUGAAAACAUCAGGGAGGGAACACAGAUGAUAACACAGGAGAGAAUACAGACGAUCCGACAAAGAACACACUAAAUAUACACACACAAAAGGAAACGAGGAAUUGGCAGACAGGCACGAAACACAGCUGACACUAAUCAGAUGAGAAGAGACCAGGAGGAGAAUACACCGAUGCAGGGCAGGGACUAUCAAAGUAAAACAGGAAUAAACACGAAUAUCGAACCAGGGACAAUACACUGAAGACAAGGGAGGUACAGAGAACACCUAAACACUGGAAAUAAUUAACAAAUAACUAGGAAACUAACUGACACAAUGAAUAUUAAUAAACACAAACAACCAAGGAGACUGCGGACCAUGACAAUUGGUUUAUUUAAAACAAAAGUUUAAAAAAAUACAAAAUGUUGUUUUCUCUAGUAGAAGAAAUUAAACACUAUCAGAAUAUUCUUUAUAAAUAGAUAGCAUUGUUGUGGAUUAUAAGGAAUAAGCAUUAACAUAUCUACUGUUAAGCUGUAAAAACAAGUAGACAUCUAACAUGAAUAUUUUAUAUGAUUAUUUUCAAAGAUAUUAAAGUAUAUAGUCAGUCUCACCUUACAGAUUUUUGUGUCCUAAUCGAUCCGCUGCAUCGUCCAUUGGCAAGGUGGUCGGAGUGUGUUCGAAGAAUGUGAUACCAAAAUUAGCUGUAAACACGAUAUUCUUUGACACAUCCAUCUAUGCCACAAUCUUCACGGAAAUCUGGACUAUGGCUAUGUGCAGAAUUAAUAUGACUCAGUAGGGAUUUGAGGGUCAGACCCACAAAAACGAUGUAGAUAACACAGCGCCAAAUCAUUUUGUUUUACUGGUCUGUGAACUACUUUUCCCAUAAAGUCAAGAUAACCAGGAUUAUUCCAUUAUGGGGUAGAAAUGGCUAUCCUAAUUCAGUGCCUUAUAACAGCUGUAGUAUAAAAGAGCGAACUAAACCAUUUCCGUACACAACCCCAUACUCCUGAGUUGGUACAGCCCACCUUCCCGCCUCUAGCUCCGUGCCUAAGCGGUUGGAUUGCAGGAUUUUGGGGUCUGGGUGUAGAUGCGAUACAGUUGGUACAGUGUGAAGAAAUUAAGGCACGCUAUGGAAAAACUGGACGAAAUAACAAUUGCCAAUCUGAAAGGUAUGUGACUGUUUUGUUUUUUCUAUGUUUUGUGUUCUGGUAUGUUGCAUGUUAAGUCGCUAGCAUGGCAGGCUAUACCCGGUUGUUAGCUUAGCUUAGCUGUGCGGUUAGCUUAGUUGCAUUAGCAUUUUUAAAUAUGCUAGUGCAGAAAGUUAUGAAAGAAUUCAUGUCCAGUUAUUAGUUUCAGUGUCUGUGAAUUUAUUCAACAAGUGUGCAAAGUGCCAUAAGUUAAUGCCAGUUUUACAGAAAUUGUAGGAGUUUCAAAUUUCUAUUAGUGAAGUUAUUUCAUUAUAUACUUUAGCCCAGGAAGCAAAAAAAAAAAAAAAUACAUUUAUAUGUAUACAUGCAUUUAAUUGAUGUAUCACAAAUAUAUUACUUUUACCAGUCAAUAGGAGGAAGGUAAUUUAGAACCUGUGGAGCAGUGAGGAGGGAGAAUAAUGGAAUAGAGUCAUGGUUUUAAAUGGUAAAUAUUAAAUUAUGUUUCCUAUGUAUCCUGUCUGUUACCCAAGCAAAGCUGUCAGCUGGCUUGCACAUGAGGAUGAUGCAAUGUAGUGAUAAUUGGAAACUCCUAUUGCAGAAGCAAAUGUUGGAGAAGACCUGCUCUCAUCACUUUCACGAGAUGACAUCAAAGAUCUGUUUCCUGGUCCUGAACAUUGCCUCAGGCGUCGGGCUCUAUGGCUUGCAGUGCACAAAUGUGAAGAAUGGAACAUGCAGCAGCUGUGUUCAGAGCCCUUCCCAUGCUUUUCCCUUCCAGCACAGUACCACCUAAGAAGCUGGGCAUCUGUAGUGAGGCUUUUUUCCAUGUCCUAAAGACUUCAGAAGACCCUGAAGGCUACCUGCGUCAGCGACCCCUGGCUUGUCCAGUUCUGCUUGUCUCUGAAGGCAACUGCAUGAUAGCUGUUGGAACCACACCGGUGAGCACUUUUGACCGGAAGGAUCUUAAUGAGGGACUGCUCUAUCUGAUGGCAUAUUACUAUGCCCUCCACCUCACAUAUCCAUAGUGCAUUUCCACGCUGCUGUCUGUCUUGCAAACUGAAAUACUCAAAGACUCCAUCCAUGACCGAGAUUCAACCCCCUCUUACAAGAAGGCGCUUGGUGAGUGGAAGUCAUUCAUUGAGUGAGUCUCCCAGAUGACAGACUCCAUCUGCCUUGUUUAUCAGACUCAGUGUUAGUCAGUGAGGUUGUUUUUUUUUCUAUAGAAAAGUUGUUCAAAUGUAAAACACAUGUUUGUUUGUGUGGUCGUUAAACUUGUUCUUCUAAAAUGUUAUGUAAUAUAGGAUUUGAAAUAGUGAUUGUUUUAAGCUUCAGCAAAAUUUAUUUUUGAUACCAGCCAUGAGUGUGUUAUACUGUUAUUAUUCAUUUUAAGAGUAUCUGGAAUAUGCACUUCUUAUAUUGGCCAUGUUACACAGUACCCUGCUGAAAUGUAUAAUUUUAGGCAUGAUUCUCCUGGAACAGACCUCAGUGAGUUACUGACCCAUUGCUGUGUCAAUAAAAGCGCAAAAUCUAAGAGUGCUUUUGCUGUCUUAAUUUAAGAUGAAUUCCCUUAUUUUUAGUAGCUUUUUGAAGAGAUGGUGUCUUAUUCUCAGGAAUUUUUGCUGAUUAUUGUUCUCAGAGUCGAAACAUAAUUCUUAUAGUUAGCUC